AACUGUGACACGAGGAUUUUCAGUCCUCUGCUCUACCAGCUGAG
Molecule: transfer RNA, 44 nt
Filed under: Pachystachys lutea
Lineage: Eukaryota; Viridiplantae; Streptophyta; Magnoliopsida; Lamiales; Acanthaceae
Description: partial tRNA-Phe
Source: RNAcentral